This 67-nucleotide transfer RNA is filed under the name Physa fontinalis. RNAcentral's name for it is "tRNA-Trp". Lineage: Eukaryota; Metazoa; Mollusca; Gastropoda; Physidae. The record is from RNAcentral.
AUUAUAAUAGGAUAUAUUAAUCCAUAGACCUUCAAAGUCUAAAAUAGUCAAAUUAGAUUUUAUAAUG